This is an RNA transcript of Magnolia sinica, 1097 nucleotides long. It is a transcript of the gene named chloride channel protein CLC-f-like, with no coding region annotated. The transcript is spliced from 5 exons. The record is from RefSeq and is a predicted model, not a curated record. Lineage: Eukaryota; Viridiplantae; Streptophyta; Magnoliopsida; Magnoliales; Magnoliaceae.
CCAUUACUCACUUAUAUACCAAUACAAUAAAUAAGUCCGGUUGCUUGAACCAUGGAUGAAUGUUGCACAAAGAUUACCACAUCGAGCAGUUCUAAUCAUUCAAUGGUCAGCUUGCAAGCUUUAGGUGGUCUAGGAGCUGGUAUAAUAGCUCUGAGGUACCCAGGGAUACUGUACUGGGGCUUUACAAAUGUGGAUGAAAUCCUUCGCAUGGGGAAGAGUGCGUCAGCACCUCGAAUUUGGCUGUUGACUCAAUUGGUGGGGGCCAAAGUUGUGGCGACUGCUCUUUGCAGGGGAUCUGGGCUUGUGGGUGCUCUUUAUGCCCCAAGCUUGAUGAUCGGUGCUGCUCUUGGUGCCGUGUUUGGGGGUUCGGCUGCAGAAAUCAUCAAUUCAGCCAUCCUAGGAAAUGUUGCUGUUGCCCAGCCACAGGCCUACGCUCUGGUCGGGAUAGUUGCUGCGCUAGCUUCAGUUUGUUCAGUUCCCUUGACAUCAGUGCUACUUCUGUUUGAGCUGACAAAGGAUCACAGAAUUUUGCUUGCACUCAUGGCUCGCCUUCAGGUUCCUGAAACAGUUGUCCAGCAGAUAUUUUUGUUAAACAGCCUUGAUGUGGAGCUUUAUAAGCAUGCGCAGGAGGACAUCUUUGCACAGCAGCAGACACAUCUUGCUGAGAAGUUGGAUAAAGUGUUUAACAGAAUCAGAAAAGUUCAAUGACAGAGAGCGAAUGGCCAAAAGUGGAGGUGGGGGCAUUGUGGUCUGUAAUAAUAACCAACUGCCAAUUACAAUUCCAUGCGUCUCAAGUUGGCUUGAAACAAUGAAAAUUGCUUCUGCACCCCUUCCAUGAAAAUCUCUCUCUACACUCUAAAAACACCUAAACCCCCCAGAGUGCCCAAAAGCUUCAUCUUAUUUCUCUGAGAAGCGAUGGAGAAGACGAUGCUGUAAGGAAAGGCUACUUGGGAUGGUCCAAACCGGAGGACAGGUUUUUCAAUGAUCUGCCUACCACAUUGCAUAAGAGUAAUGCAGGACUGCCCAUUUUUGGAGGUUUGUGUCCUUAUCUCACAUAUGAUGCUCUUGUGCAUCUUUGGAGGGACAUGUCUAAUUUU